RNAcentral lists this non-coding RNA (30 nucleotides) under Rattus norvegicus (Norway rat). The record is from RNAcentral. Lineage: Eukaryota; Metazoa; Chordata; Mammalia; Rodentia; Muridae.
UAACCAAAGACUAUACAUCAACUGACCCAU